UCCAGACUCCUACGGGAGGCAGCAGUGAGGAAUAUUGGUCAAUGGCCGAGAGGCUGAACCAGCCAAGUCGCGUGAGGGAAGAAUGUCCUAAGGAUUAUAAACCUCUUUUGUCGGGGAGCAAAAAGGCUCUGCGGAGUCGUAUUGAGAGUACCCGAAGAAAAAGCAUCGGCUAACUCCGUGCCAGCAGCCGCGGUAAUACGGAGGAUGCGAGCGUUAUCCGGAUUUAUUGGGUUUAAAGGGUGCGUAGGCGGCCUUUUAAGUCAGCGGUGAAAGUCUGUGGCUCAACCAUAGAAUUGCCGUUGAAACUGGGGGGCUUGAGUAUGGUUGAGGCAGGCGGAAUGCGUGGUGUAGCGGUGAAAUGCAUAGAUAUCACGCAGAACUCCGAUUGCGAAGGCAGCAUACCGGCGCCCGACUGACGCUGAAGCACGAAAGCGUGGGUAUCGAACAGGAUUAGAUACCCGCGUA
Molecule: ribosomal RNA, 465 nt
Filed under: uncultured bacterium
Lineage: Bacteria
Description: bacterial SSU rRNA
Rfam family: Bacterial small subunit ribosomal RNA
Source: RNAcentral